UUGUAGGCUGAAACUCGCCUACAUGAAGCUGGAAUUGCUAGUAAUCACAGGUCAGCAUACUGUGGUGAAUACGUUCCCGGGCCUUGUACACACCGCCCGUCACACCAUGAGAGUUGAGAAUACCCGAAGCCCAUGUCAAAGUGGUCGAAGGUAGGCUUGAUGAUUGGGGUGAAGUCGUAACAAGGUAUC
RNAcentral lists this ribosomal RNA (189 nucleotides) under uncultured bacterium. RNAcentral describes it as "partial 16S ribosomal RNA". It matches the Rfam family "Bacterial small subunit ribosomal RNA", at positions 1298 to 1500 of the family's 1533-position model. The record is from RNAcentral.